Long non-coding RNA from Salvia miltiorrhiza (redroot sage), 748 nucleotides. RefSeq lists it as uncharacterized. The transcript is spliced from 3 exons. The record is from RefSeq and is a predicted model, not a curated record. NCBI's taxonomy places the organism in Eukaryota, Viridiplantae, Streptophyta, Magnoliopsida, Lamiales, Lamiaceae.
GAGUAGAGAUUUAGAGAGUAGAGAUUAGAGAGAGUGUAGAGAUUAUGAGAGAGAGAGAUCAAGGCAAUUAAUGCCAAUAUUCACUAAGAUUGCCAAAUCUUCUAUAAGAUUAGCAAAAUCCUCUCAAAUCUUUCAAGAUAAUUCUCUCUCUCACUCCACCCCAAAUUUUCGAUCACCACCUUCUCCCUCCCUUCAUCUCUCUACUUUCCACCAUUGACAACCAUUAACAAGACCUUCGGAGCUUCACAAAAUCACACCAAAAACACAAAUCACCCUCUAAAUCUUACACUAAACACUUCCACCUCCUUGAAUCCAAGAAGAUCUUUGGAGUUUGAUCUUCAAAGUUAGAGAGAGAAAGUUUGGUUUUGGGUGUAAGUUUGGACACGAGCAGAGCAAGGAAGUAAGUAACUCCGCUUUGACGGGAGUGUUUGAGUAAGGUCUUCAGACUAAGCGAGGAGCGAGAUUGGUCUGGUGCUGGCGGGGAAAUGUUGGAGGAUGUAUUUACUUUAUCGUAUUUCCAUUUUGACGAUAAAGUCUUGAUGAUUGAUAUACUUUAAUUUUCUUUUGAAGUUAAGCAAUGUACUCACGGUUAUAUGUCUUCAUACAUAUAAUCGGUUCGCCUUUUGCUGCGAUACUCUGCAUAUUAUGUUCCCUUACGAAAAAUGAGCGAUACCCGUUUUGUUUUUGUUCGUGAAAUUCCUGAUAAUUAAAAAGUUAUAACGACGUUGACGAUUUUACCCUUGGGUUC